AGGAGAAGGAGGAAAGUCCUAGAUACCUCUGUGGCCUAUGUGCGUGGAGAGGAGAACCUGGCAGGCUGGAGACCCCGCGGUGACAGCCUCAUUCUAGAACAUCAGUGGGAACUGGAGAAAUUGGAGUUGCUGCAUGAGGUGGAAAAAACACGACAUUUCCUUCUGCUCCGUGAAAAACUUGGUGACAGCAUCCCCAAGUCCCUGAGUGAGUCGUUGUCUCCCAGUCUGAGCAGUGGAACCCUCAGCACCUCCACCAGCAUUUCCUCCCAGAUUUCCACCACCACUUUUGAGAGUGCUGUCACCCCCAGUGAAAGCAGUGGCUAUGACUCAGCUGAUAUAGAGAGCCUCGUGGAUCGGGAGAAAGAGCUGGCCACCAAGUGUCUGCAACUUCUUACUCACACUUUCAAUCGUGAGUUUAACCAGGUGUACAACAGCAUCAGUGAUUGUAAGCUGUCUGAUAUUUCUCCAAUUGGGCGAGACCCAUCAGUGUCCAGUUUCAGCAGUGCUACCCUCACUCCUUCAUCUACCUGUCCUUCUCUGGUGGAUUCAAGAUGCAAUUCAAUUGAU
This is a non-coding RNA of Tinamus guttatus (white-throated tinamou), 567 nucleotides long. NCBI's taxonomy places the organism in Eukaryota, Metazoa, Chordata, Aves, Tinamiformes, Tinamidae. The record is from RefSeq and is a predicted model, not a curated record.